RNAcentral lists this ribosomal RNA (429 nucleotides) under Chloroflexota bacterium. RNAcentral's name for it is "Chloroflexi bacterium partial 16S ribosomal RNA". It matches the Rfam family "Bacterial small subunit ribosomal RNA", at positions 355 to 776 of the family's 1533-position model. The record is from RNAcentral. Lineage: Bacteria; Bacillati; Chloroflexota.
UGGGGAAUAUUGCACAAUGGGCGCAAGCCUGAUCCAGCCAUGCCGCGUGUAUGAAGAAGGCCUUCGGGUUGUAAAGUACUUUCAGCGGGGAGGAAGGGAGUAAAGUUAAUACCUUAGCUCAUUGACGUUACCCGCAGAAGAAGCACCGGCUAACUCCGUGCCAGCAGCCGCGGUAAUACGGAGGGUGCAAGCGUUAAUCGGAAUUACUGGGCGUAAAGCGCACGCAGGCGGUUUGUUAAGUCAGAUGUGAAAUCCCCGGGCUCAACCUGGGAACUGCAUCUGAUACUGGGUAGCUUGAGUCUCGUAGAGGUGAGUAGAAUUCCAGGUGUAGCGGUGAAAUGCGUAGAGAUCUGGAGGAAUACCGGUGGCGAAGGCGGCCCCCUGGACGAAGACUGACGCUCAGGUGCGAAAGCGUGGGGAGCAAACAGG